CCCUCUGCCUCCUGCAGCUACCGGGAGCCAUUGCUGAGCAGCUCGGAGAACGGGAACUGUCCCAAGGAGACGUUGCAUUCGGAUGAUCGGGAGAAGGACGGGGCGCUGGAGGGGAUCGAGUUCGAGGAGCGCGGCCUGGAGAAGCCGGAGAAGGACUCGGAGCGGAUCCUGGUGGAGCUGCUGGCUCUGCACAAGCCCCAGGCGGCAUGGGGUGAGGGGGGGCUGGCAGCUGCCGUGCUGGAGAGAGUGUCUGCGCUGAAGAGGCUGCUGGUCGGGGGGUCCCCCCUGCCGGAGGAUGGGGGCCGUGAGUCGCCUGAGGACGGCUGGCGCCGGGCGCUGGAGAACAGGGGCGCCGGAGACAAGGAUGAGGAACGGGAUGCGGGUGAUGGCGCUGAGAGCGAGGGGGGAGUGCCAGGUAUGAGAACAACA
Molecule: long non-coding RNA, 429 nt
Organism: Chelonoidis abingdonii (Abingdon island giant tortoise)
Lineage: Eukaryota; Metazoa; Chordata; Testudines; Testudinidae
Source: RefSeq, a predicted model, not a curated record